RNAcentral lists this ribosomal RNA (253 nucleotides) under uncultured bacterium. Its description in RNAcentral is "partial 16S ribosomal RNA". It matches the Rfam family "Bacterial small subunit ribosomal RNA", at positions 524 to 776 of the family's 1533-position model. The record is from RNAcentral.
UACGUAGGUGGCAAGCGUUGUCCGGAUUUACUGGGCGUAAAGAGCGCGCAGGCGGUCGUUCAAGUCGCGUGUGAAAGCCCCCGGCUCAACUGGGGAGGGUCACGCGAUACUGAUCGACUCGAAGGCAGGAGAGGGUAGUGGAAUUCCCAGUGUAGCGGUGAAAUGCGUAGAUAUUGGGAGGAACACCAGUGGCGAAGGCGGCUCACUGGACCGGAACUGACGCUGAGGCGCGAAAGCGUGGGGAGCAAACAGG